RNAcentral lists this unclassified non-coding RNA (361 nucleotides) under Hevea brasiliensis (rubber tree). The record is from RNAcentral. Lineage: Eukaryota; Viridiplantae; Streptophyta; Magnoliopsida; Malpighiales; Euphorbiaceae.
UAUUUUGAGGGUAUCUCUGGUGUGCCUAAAAUAAAGAACAACUACAAUCCAGCAACAUGGAUGUUAGAGGUUACAUCAACAUCUAGUGAAGCUGAGACCAGCAUAGACUUCGCUGAAGUAUAUAAGAAUUCUGCUCUACACAAAAAUAACGAAGAGCUUGUGAAAAAACUGACUUUCCCACCAGCUGGUUCAAAAGAUUUGCAUUUCCCCACCCAAUUUUCACAGAAUGGCUGGGGACAAUUCAAGACUUGCUUCUGGAAGCAAUACUGGUCCUAUUGGAGGAGUCCUUCAUACAAUUUGAUGCGCUCUCUGCACAUGCUUUUUGCUUCCGUUGUUUUUGGAUUGCUUUUCUGGAACAAGG